CUCAUGAAAACCUAUUUUAUUAUUAAGAAAAGUUUGAUCGAAGUUGCGCGAACGCAUACUCUGAAUUGAUUUUUAAAAUCGUGAUCAUAUUACGCGAACGUAUACACAAUCACAAAUAAUAAGAUUGGUGCGCCUGAUUUAGUUAUUAGAAAUAGUUCAAUUCAAUCGUCCGCACAAACAUAUAAAAUAGACAACCAAGAAAAGAAGAGCAAAGAUAAUUCACUGAUUGUCCAUCAACUUUCAAGCAAAGGCCAAUUUACCCAUCACUCUUAAUGAGGAAAAAUAAGCUUUUGAAUACAUUCUGCACAUGGAAUUAUAGUACAAGUAUGGGAAGGGAUAAAGUCUUGCCCAAUGCAUUUUCCGAAAUAGUCAAGCAGCAGGUUCUCACCAUAACAAUACCACGACAAGAAAGGAAUUCUCUUUACUCAAAGUAUAUUGGUAUACUGACCCAAGGAUUCACAGUAAGUCUCAAAUGCAUUCACUUAUUGAAAUAAAUAUGAUGCCUCACUAAAGAUAAAGAAGGGAUAAUGUUGUACCAGGGAAUUCCAAACUAGUAGUUUAUUAGGCGUGUUCUCUUUCUUUCAACUCUUUACAAAACAUCCUUUUGGCUCCAACAUUUAACAACAAAGGCUGAUGAGCACGAUUGUAGCAGUUUUAUAUCUAGUUCUACUCACAUGAAUAACACUAAAUUAUCAGAAGGAAUGAAGCACGAAGAGUUCAAUAGAGAAACUGGUCAACUUCAACAUCACCAGCUGGACAUAGAAUUUUGAAUCUAGUGAGAAUCAAGUCUCCUUGGUACAAAAACUAACUCAACUUAACAGAAGAAAUUGAACUAAACAACGAAAUUACAAAGAAUCUAGCAUAGGUAUCAGUAUAUAAUCAAUAUCAAGAAAACCUCCAAUGAAUUGAUUACCAUUAAGGUGUUUGAACAAAUCAAAUUGAAGUCAGCCUUAACACAAACAUCGACCAGGUAUGAGCUGAAUUUUCAAGCAGAAGCAUCAUGGUUAACAGUGAAGGACAUUCUGGGCCAAUUACGCAUUCCCAGUACAGCUAAUGGUUCCCUGAACCAUUAACCUGGACCUGAGCCUUAUGGCUCAUGCUCUGAGUAUAGUAGAAUAAGAAUACAAAUGGCUGGAAUGGAUCCUCAAGUCAGUUACACACUCACAGCUUGCACACAACAAACAGGGAAUACGGAAAACAAUCAAUGGAUACCAAGUUCCUAACUUAAAGUUCUCAUAAUUUCGAAUGCAAAACAGAGCAAGAGAGUAGGACAGAUUCGGCCUUAUGAUCUCAAAGGAUCCCCAUGAACUAGAUAUUUCAUUUACACCUGAAUUCUAAGGGUCUCCACCCUAUAUCAAUUACUUGCACCUAAUCACUACAAAUCAGACAGAAAACACCCUUACAAUGAGAGAAAAACAAAGAUCGAUGCGAAUAGUUCAGUCUUCAUGCUCAAAAUGUUAGGGUCAAAACAGAACAACCAAAGAUACAGAAUAAGAAAUUCGUAAAUAACAGUUGGAACGCUUAAAGUAAAUUUUAGAAUAGGAAUGUUAAUCGACUACUUGCAGACGAUUUGAGGUGCACGUUGGCUUAUGAUAUGCAUAAGAUCUAGAAAAGCUAGAAGCACAAUCACAUGACCAAACAACACUGAAUGAGCAGUAAACAUUACGAGGCAGAUCAACACACACAGUCAUUUGUUCCAACAGAUUCUGAGAUUAGAGUACCAGAUAAACUUUCCUUUGCGCACAUACAAAAUCAUAGAAGAGGCUAAUACAAACAAUUGAAAUAACUACAUAAAUCUCAGUUAUUCUUUCAAACUUCAACCCAUUUUGUAGCUCACAGAGCCCAAUUUACAAUGGGAAAUAAAAUGAAGAAGAGAAAAGAACUUGGAAUUAAGAAACAGAAUUAGUACAACCUUGAAAUCGACCAAGAGGAAGCAAAUAGCAACUAAAAUCAACCCCUAAGCAGAAACAGACUCACAUUUUUCAAGCGACAUCUAUUUUACCCCAAAAUCAAGAAAUGUAAUGAAAAAUGAACUCUAGAGGUUUCGAAAAAGACUAUAAACAGUAAUCAACAAGAAAAUUCAAAUAACAGCCCCCUCAGUGAUUUUUGUUUUUCCAAUAUCAAAAUCGAAAGAACAAAUAAAAUCGAAAAAAAUAUCUCAAAUUCAUUUUUGAAAAAUCUCUCCCACUCUGAAAUUUUUUUCUCUCUCCCUUUUCGAAAUAGGAACUGGCCCUAUCUGAAGCGAAUCCCUGAUGAAUGUGGAGGCUUGGAUUGAAUGAGAUAAAUCCAACGCUUCACACUCAUCCAUCACAUACGCCUCUAGAACCUUCUAAUUGUGAUAUAUAUCUAAAUCGAGCAAGUGAGAGGGGAGAUAAUCUCCCGUCCGAAACCGUUAGAAUAAUGAGAGGAGGGAUGGGGGGAACACGUGGGUUAGAGAUUUGGGACUCACUUGCCUGAAUUUGAACAGAAUUUGGGGCUUGGUUCGCGUGUUCUUUGGAUAAGAAGAAUAGUACAUGCCUGAGUUGGGAUAUUAGGGCUUUUGUUCGUUUAUGUUAUGAAUUAGGCGACUACGCGGGUUAUGACUAAGUGGGUUGGGCAUCAGGUGGGUUAAGAAGGCAUUAGGAUUGGGGUUUUGAGUUAAAAUGGCACAAAUUCCUAAUUCUCUUUGUUUUCCUCUUUUGUUUUCUUUUUCUUUUCUCUUUUU
This 2704-nucleotide long non-coding RNA is filed under the name Nicotiana benthamiana. RNAcentral's name for it is "long non-coding RNA (NBEN_LNC018750)". Lineage: Eukaryota; Viridiplantae; Streptophyta; Magnoliopsida; Solanales; Solanaceae. The record is from RNAcentral.